Molecule: ribosomal RNA, 755 nt
Filed under: uncultured bacterium
Lineage: Bacteria
Description: bacterial SSU rRNA
Rfam family: Bacterial small subunit ribosomal RNA
Source: RNAcentral
AGAGUUUGAUCAUGGCUCAGGAUAAACGCUGGCGGCGUGCUUCAGGCAUGCAAGUCGAACGGACCUUCGGGUCAGUGGCGGACGGGUGAGUAACACGUAAGCAACCUGCCCAGAAGUGGGGAAUAACCCACCGAAAGGUGAGCUAAUACCGCAUGUGAUGGAUCUUCCCUGGAGGGUUCAUUAAAGGCUUCGGUCGCUUUUGGAGGGGCUUGCGUUCGAUUAACUAGUUGGUGGGGUAACGGCCUACCAAGGCAACGAUCGAUAGCUGGUCUGAGAGGACGGUCAGCCACACGGGGACUGAGAUACGGCCCCGACUCCUACGGGAGGCAGCAGCUAGGAAUCUUGGGAAUGGGCGAAAGCCUGACCCAGCAACGCCGCGUGGGCGAUGAAGGCCUUAGGGUCGUAAAGCCCUUUUGUGGGGGACGAUGAUGACGGUACCCCGCGAAUAAGCCACGGCUAACUACGUGCCAGCAGCCGCGGUAAUACGUAGGUGGCGAGCGUUGUCCGGAUUUACUGGGCGUAAAGGGCGCGCAGGCGGUUUGUUUAGUCUAGGGUGAAAGCUCCCGGCUUAACUGGGAGAGGUCCUUGGAUACUGGCAGACUCGAGGGAGGCAGAGGAAAGUGGAAUUCCCGGUGUAGUGGUGAUAUGCGUAGAUAUCGGGAGGAACACCGUGGCGAAGGCGGCUUUCUGGGCCUUACCUGACGCUGAGGCGCGAAAGCGUGGGGAGCGAACCGGAUUAGAUACCCUAGUAGUCC